Molecule: long non-coding RNA, 14243 nt
Organism: Heterocephalus glaber (naked mole-rat)
Lineage: Eukaryota; Metazoa; Chordata; Mammalia; Rodentia; Bathyergidae
Source: Ensembl
UGUAAAGUCAGACCUGUCAUUGGCAGGGCUGACCGAGCAGCAAUGUGCAAGUCCAUGGCAGGUGGGGACAGAAGUGGUGCAACCAGUCUGCUCAGAGCCAGCGAGGCCAGCAAAACGAAGUCCUAGUUGAGAACUCUAUUCCAGGCCUGCUGGACUUGAGACAGGUAGGGUCCCUUCCUCAAAAGAGGUCAGCUCGGAUGGAGAGCAACUCCACUGAGCCAGUCCACCCCAGUGGAGGAAGUCCCCAACAUAAGACUGUAACUGUAGACCCAGGCGAGGAGGGGUUCUCUCUCCUUUGGGAACCUAAGCCCCGAGAAGCUCCAGAUGGAAAUGAGGAGGAGACUGGAAGAGGCAGCUGGGUAGAGGGGGCAUCUCGCUGGGCACAGCUCUCAGGAGCAGCUGGAAAAGCCAUGCAGAAGCAGGCAGGCUCGCAGGGAAGCAGGCGGCCAUCUCCGGGCAGCUCCGACUCCCUCGCCACCCUCUCCCUGCCCCAUUUUGGAGUCGCUCUGAGUGAGGUGGUGCUGAGUUUGCAGACUCACAACCACUGUCCAGCUCCUUGUUCCUCGGAAUGUGGCCCGUGGAGCAGGAGCAGGAGAAUGAGCAAGACCGAGACUUUCCUUACCUUUUCGGAGUCCACUUCAGGCCUCCCGGUCAGGGUCUGAAUUCUAACAAGAUCCCUCGAUGGCCUCCCACACGACAUCUGAGAAAUGCUGACCUGGAAGUAGGUGGUCUUCCUCCCCCACGGUGACCCGGGGGCCUGGCCACAGUGCCCGUGGGGGCUGUUGUCCAGCUCCUUCCUGUCCAGAAGGGCCACUCAAGCACUCCCAGGCUCCGGCCCCACAGUGCUUAUCACGGGCUCAUUCUCAUGCUCCAGCCUGGGAGUUGGGAGUUGCAGGCUUUUUUUUAUACUUUGAUAUAAUGAGAUAAAUAUAUGCUUUUGGAUUCUUUUACUCUCUCUUCACUAGACGGUUCCAGAAAUAAAGAGUCAUCCAUAAGCCUUAAGGGAGUUGAGAUGACAACUUUUGGAACAUGAGAUUUUGGUCCAAGUGGGAUUUUUGCUGGUGUUACUAAUUAAGAUUCUCUUCAAAACUAGGCCAGCCCCAUGGUAUCCAGUUGGCAGUCUGUUUAGAAUCCUUCUGUAAACAUGCAGUGGCUUGUACAAAUAGGGAGGCUUUACUUUCCCAUCAUAAAGAGGGCCUGAAAUAAAUCCCAGACAACUCUAGGAGUUUGUCUUUGCCGUAAAAAUAGUGGAAUUCAUGGAGAGCUGCCUUGUUGCGCUCAGACAGGAUACAGGGUGGCCAGCUAAUUGGCCCUGGGAAGCAGCUGGGGGUGGGUUUUGCUCUUUUCAGUCUGCAGGAGGGAAGUCGGCCUGCACUUGCUUUCCACGGUGUUGAAAGUUUUACAUUUAGUGGAUGCUACUAUUCAUACAGACUCAGCAAGAUGGCAGGGCUUCUAGUUAGUGACCCCAACAACCCCGGGGCUUUCAGGGCUGGUGGCUGGCAUCACUGUGCCACUUUUUGAGACAGAAACUGAUGGUCAGCUCCUGAGUUCUGUGUUGUUGAUGGAGAGAAAGAAGAGAGGUUCACAUGUUUCUCCUUUCUGUGCAACAGAGGAGAGUGACAUGGGUGACCAUCCACCCUAAAAAUCCAAGUAGCUGGAUGGAGCAGGGGCUGGGGGAGCUGGAGGGGAGCAUUCUAUUGUACAAACAAGUCUGUUUGUUGAGUGCAUGAUCAACUGCUUCUCCGCUGGUACAAACUGGCUGCCUCCCGGACUCCUCACACAUUGGUCUUCUCUGAGGAAGCAAACCCCUACCUUAGUCAUAGUCCCCUCUGUGCGCUUAGAGGCUACAGCGUUGCCGGAUAUGUAGUAGAUUUCUGAGAACUAUUUGUGGACUGUGGGCAUGCAUUGGACCAUGUCCCAUUCGGAGGUCACUGUUGAGACUGUGUCUACUAUGUAUCACUUCACAUUUUAUAUCUCUGCCCAUUUAAUACAUCUACAAACUCCCUGUACUACUUUCCUCUGCUUAUUUGGUGGGAUCUUCCAAUACCUGAGCUGAUCUAAGCACAGUUGCUUGUGCUAAAAGCAGUUGCUUGUCUAUCAAAUCAGAACAUAAGUGGGGCUGAGAGCCAGUUGAAAGUAGCUUACAUACAUCCUACACAGACCAGCUAUGAGGAUACUCAUUUGGAAAUCUGCUAAGAGCUAGUGUGAGUAUAAGCCAUCUCACAAAAUGGCAACCAAUUUAACCUCACUGUUCAGCAUUCCUCAGGAUAAUCCGGUGUGUUCAAGCAUUAGAAUGACCAGGACAAAGUAGCCAGAUAGGAAUGAAGUCCUUUACAUUCUGCCAAUCUCCCUGUCUGAAUCUGAGGCAUGGCUACAGCUGAUUGCAGAAAUUCGGAUGAAGGUGGAGAGAGAUAUCUUGCUCAGGCAAGUGGGAACAGGUGCAUACCUCUCUUUCCAGUGCUUGUGAGGUCUGGAGAAAAGGGAUGACCCAGUGCUAAGGCGGUCUUCAUGGGCUGUUCUUCACAACCCCAUCUUUGGAGAGAAAGCAGGAGAUCCCACCCACAGGGAAAGAAGAGCUACACCGUUUCCUUCCUGUUAAGGGAUGGUGGCAGUGUGUCUUUGUAGGGCAAUGACUUUGCUCAAUUUAGAGGUGCUUUAAUGGGAGGAAGGAUUUCCUUCCAACCCUUGGGACACAGAAAACCCCUCCACAGUUUUCUGUUAGGUCUUUCCGACCAACAAGACAGGUGGGCUGGUCCAGCUGAGGGGAGGGCUCCUGGGAGGGAGAAUGCUCUGGGCUCUAUCUGUGGGUCAGGAAGGGAAAGAACCAACAGCAUUCCUAGCUGAGUGAUCCUGAGCAAGAGCUGCAGCCUCUGGAGCCUCAGGAGGACAGGUUAUCAUCCCUCAGGUGGUUGUUCUGACUCCCUUGAUAUGUUCCAAAGUGCAGCAUGUUGGAACAACUUACUAGACCAUUUCGUGCAGCUUUGGGCCUACAGCAAUGGCAACAGGUGCCAUUUCCUGGCCACUUGCUAUUAAUCUGAUGAGAGUUGUUUGAAUCAACCACAUAGAUGAGGGGUCCCCCAACCCCACUGUAUGUCUGUGGCUUGUCAGGAGCUGUGUCACCAAGCAGGAGGUGAGCAGUGGGUGGGGUGAGAAUGGAAACCUUGCUCUGUACUUGCAGCCACUCCCCAUAGCUUGUAGGACUGCCUCAGCUCCACUUCUUGUCAGAGCAGCAGUGGCGUUAGAUUCUCACAGGAACAUGAAGCCCAUGGUGAACUGUCCCUGUGAGAGCUCUAGGUUGUGGGCUUCUCAUGAGAAUCUAAUUUCUGUUGAUCUGAAGUGGAGCUGAGGUGGUGAUGCUAGUGGUGGGGAGUAGAAUUAGUAUGUAUCACAAACAUAUGCUAAUAAAGAAGCCACACCCUCUGCGGUGGAAAAAUGGUCUCCCACAAAACCAGUCCCUGAUGCAAAUAAAGUUGGGGAUUGCUGAUACAGAGUCACUAUCUUUCUGUGCUAAUCAGGGCAACAUAUGAAUAGGGGAGAGACAAACAGCAAAGAUCUCACCCAAGCCACCCAGCUUCUUUGGAAACCUUCACUUGUGCUAUGACGAUACAAAUUACUGCAGGGCAGUGCCGUGGUUCAGCACCAACCUUUUAUUGCUAGGGAUGCUAAGAUAGUGACAGUGGCUACAUUUGAAUGAUUUGCCCUGUAGGUAUGUGUAUUUGGAAAAAUCUCCUAGAUAAUUAUGCUAUGCUUGUGGGCUGAGAAUAAUUACCCAGAAAGCUCCACUGCUAGACUAAUUUAUACAAAAUUGUUGAGGAAUUUACCUUCACUACAAGGUUCUUUUUAAAGAAACUUUGAAAUAAUCUCAAAAUUACAGGCGAUUUUGCAAAUAUCCUACUUCUCUUUUUGUACAACCGUUUGAGACCAAGUUGCCAACCUCAGGGCUGUGAAUAUAGUAAUACCUCAGUUCACAAGUGUGUUUGUUCAUGCACAGUUCAGUUGCAUAUAGAAAUGUUUAGCACAAUUUUUCUUCUGUUUGAGAACUCUGCAUUGGGGGAUGAACAGGCCAUCUUCUCCCCACGAACAUGAAUUCAGCCAUCAUUCCUGCUCUGGUACAGGACCAUGUCUUCCUCUAGUUGAGAUUUUGGUCAAAGGCAGACCUGUGCACAUACAGUACUGUACAGUAUUAUUCAAAAAAGCAUGGUGCCAGGGAAAGUGCAGAGCAAGCGUGGUGGUAAAAAAAAAAAAGUGCAGAGCGGUAAUGAAGAUGUCAAGAAUGUGCACAGCAGUAAUGAAGGUAACAAGAGAAUGCAGAGCAAGAAUGGUAAGGAGAGGGUUUUGAAGAAAAUAACCAUUGAAUUGAAGACAGCAAUUGUAGAAAAGCAUGAGCAUGGUAUUCACGUGAUUGAUCUGGCCUUGGAGUACAAGAUGGCCAAGUGGACACUCUUGAAUAUUUUGAAGAAUAGAGAUGCCAUCAAAGGAGCUGAUGUGGCAAAAACAGUAACAAUGUUAACCAAGCAGAGGACACAAGUGCUGGAAGAAGUGAACAAAUCUUUUGUUAGUGUGGUUGAAUGAGAAACAGCUGGCAGGUGAUAGCAUUAGUGAAGCUAUGAUCAGUGAUAGCUAUGUUAUUACACAUGUGUAUAUAUGAACUCACAAAUAUAGAUAUGCACACAUGUUUGGCCCUUUACCUAUUUCCAUAUCUACAGUUAUAUUUUAAUAUCAAUUUAUCUGUCUGUCUUGAAAAUCUCACGGGAUCACAGCAACACUGCCAGCUCCAGUCCAAUACCAUGGAGUUCAUUCAAGUCUCCUCUCUUUGCUGAUUUGCGACUGUCUUCUAAUAUCUCACUGUACUUGGCAUACUUGCUCAUAAUCUUCCCUUUGGAGGUAUGCAGUCCUGUUAAAGCUGUCCCACAUGGAUAACCCUUACCCAGGCUGCAAACCCCUCUGUGAAGACACCUCUUUGACACCCCUUGAAGGGACCCUUCUUUACCACUCUGGCCCGGUGACUAAACAUCUGGGAACGGAAAGGCGGGAAAGGGAAGGGCCUCACUAAAUUUUAUGAUUUGGAGAACAAAUCUUUCCUUAGCUAGAAGGAUUGUCUCAGUUCAUUUGAAUGAGUCCCAACCCGAGUUGUUAUCAAUCCUAUGCCUAGGGUGAGACAGAACCCACCUCCACCGAGAAUGCUCUGGCUGUGGUCCUGGGGGAAUAUCCGUCUGUGCCUUCUCUGAGCUGAGCUCUGGGGCCAGGGGACCCUUCCCCAACCACAGUGGUUAUCAGUUGCAUUGGUUCAUUGCUUGUGUUUCUCUUUCUUUUGCUUCUGUCUCCCAAAUCCAACAACUAACCAACCAACCAACAAAAUGUUCACAACCUUCAAUGCCUCCUGCGGACGCAUUGGGAAAGGAUGAUCACAUGAAGAUUUUGGUGGGUUUUAGAUUUCAGCUUCUUUCCUAAGGGUCACCUAAAAGUUGACUCCGUGGUCAUUAUUUACAAUCUGUUUAUCCCUUUGAAGCAGGUGAUUUAAGCAGCCCCACAUUGGUGCAGGAACACUAUCAGGACAGGAAGAGCCUCUCACAGAAGUCACUGUUCGAGGGUCCCUUUUUUCUUCACUUGCCCACUAAUUUCUUGUUUCUGGGCAACAUCACCCAUCCAAGUGGAAACAGGCCUCAUGCCUAGAAGUGUGGUCACGGCUUCUCAUGUUCAGAAGUGUGAAAUCAAAGUAGAUGUAUGGUAAAAGCUUCCUGAAAUAAUAGAAACUUUGGCCUGUCAUUUUUGCAUAAUUUCUCUCAAAAGCAUUAUCAGUGUUUGAGUAAGUGUUGAUGUAGGCAUUGUCUUUUAGAGUGGGAGGGAUGAUAUUUACAAAAUCCUCUCCGUUGUUGACAUUUGCUUCCUGCAUUUUCUUCCCUUUUAAACAAACCUUAAUGGAACAAAUGACACAACAAAAUACUCUGCAACUUGAGCACCACCUCCACACGCCUCCAGAGAGCAUCUCGACAGGGCAGGAUGCUGCCUGCAGCAGGCAUCUCCAGGGCUGACUCACGGCUGAAGCCCAGGUCCCCGAACGCUUUGCCUGUCCCCUGGAUGCCACCAGGCAGAGUCCUCAUGAUUGCUCCUGACCCCUGCAACUUCUCUCAAAUGAGAUUGGUUUUUGAAUGGUGCCUGGAGGGAAGAAUUUCCUACCACUAGAUUUACAUUAUUUUCCUGCUGUGUUUUAGAUAUCAUUUCUAAAAUUCUACUCACACUAUGAGAGGAAAUAGUUUCAACAAAAUAAAGGGGUUGAAAAUCUAUUUCUUCUGUGUACCUGUAAUUCCCACUCUGCCCCACUGUCAAUGAAUCAAAGACACCCCAAUAGACAUUAGCAGCGAUGACCUUCUCUGGACCCAUCAAAAAGGAUUUUUAAAAAAAGCCAUGGCAUCCUAGAUCUUUAAAUAGUAAGAAAAACAGAUUUUGAAUGUACUCACCAUGAAGAAAUGGUUAAGUUUGAGAUGAUGGAUAUGCAAAUUACCCCAGGUUAACCGGUACCCGAUAUAUGCCCAAAGCAAAGCAUCACCCUAUGCAUUAUAAAUACGUACAAAUAAUGUGUAUCAGUCAAAAAUAUUUGUUUAAAAGCUGGCUAUGGUGGAAGAGGAUGUAGUUCCUUCAAUUUGCUCCCUUCCUCUUUGUAGACAAGAUAGCUGCUCCUCAGGGUUGGGAGACCUCUUUAGAGAGCUGGGUGUGUGGUCUUACAUGGUGUCGUAUGUCUGUUGUUGCUUUUCAUGGAGAGGAAAAUGCAGAGCAGGGAUCAUGCCUGAGAAGGCAUUGAUCAUGCUGGCCCUGCCUGGGAUGGAGGGCCAAGCUUAGCAGCCUUCCUUUAAGCUGGGGAAGCUUAGGACAUUGAGAACAUCAGAGCUCUGAGUUCCUUAGGGAAGCUGGGGCCUUAAUGUCAUAAUUUUCGCAAAGCUAGACUGAUAGAAUCUGUAGAUAGCAAAGUGCUUAAAUUAAAGUCAGCUCAGUCAAGUGUGUCUGGAGAAUGCCUUGAAGAGAUGCUCAGAGAAGUGAUCAAUACGAUCUCAUCAUGAUUCUUAACAGGGCUGAUCUCAGACUUGUGUGCAGAGAAAAUGACCACCAUUACAAAAUUGGACAGCACAUGAUCGAGUACCUGUUUUUGCGCAUAAACCUUCUCCCUGUUGGUGGCUUGGGUCCCUGGGCCAUGCUGGCCUCCUGGCUAGUCCAGCAAGAAGGACUCGCCCUUGGCCGUGUGACAUACCCACAUCUGCAAACUGAUGGAUGGGAAAGUCUGAGGACACUUUCUUCUCUCUGUUGUCUACUUAUUUGGGGCCACUUCUAGGCUUUACCAUUUUUCCAACUGUGAUGGAAAAAAUGACAAAAGCUAAGCUGGUAGAAAAUCAAUUUAAUACUGUCAGUUAUGUUAUUUAAGAAUAAAUACAAGAACCCAUCUACUGUCAUUAUUUUGGGCUUUUUUUUUUGGUACUGGGGAUCAAACUCGGAAACUUGUGCUUGUGCAGCAGGCGGCAAAACCGCUGAGCUAAAUACCUGGCCCUAUUUUGGGCUUUUAAAUAGUUCUUUCCCUGGUUAGCGCUCAGUGCCCAGCAUUUCCGUCAUUAUUCAGCCACACAUAGUAUUACGAUAGUAAAGGUGUUAUGCAACUUAGUCAUCUAAAAAAAAUCUGAACAACUUGGUCAGACUUUUUUUUUUUGGUUUUUUUUGUAAUGCUGGAGAUUGAAUUCUGAGCUACAUCCUCAGCCUUAUUUAUUUAUUUAUUUUUUAAAUUUUAAGACAGAGUAUCUUAGUUACUUUUCAUAUCGCUGAGACAAAAUACCCAACACCCUUAAGGGAGAAAAGGUUUACUUAGCAAACAGUUUAUAGAGGUUUCAGUCCAUAACUAGCUGGCUCCAAGGGAGGGUGGCACAGCAGACAGGCAUCACAGAGGAGAAACAGUCCAUGGCAGGCAGGCAGGAAGGCAGCAAAGCAACAAGGGAGGACCACAGUUCUUUUUAUCCCUUAUAUCUUUUCCAGGCUGCUUAGGAUGGGUAGCACUCAUACCUUUAAUGCUAGUGCCCUUGAGCCUAGCAUUGCACCAUGAAUCAAUCCCAGCAUCACACACCCUAGAUCCAGCCACCUCUGAAAAGCCCCACCUAUGAUGACAUGAGGCUUUGGAGGACAGCUAGACACAAGCUCUGACAUGGCGUCUCACUAAGUUGCUCAGACUAGCCUGGAACUUUCAAUCCUCCCGUCUCAGCUUCCUGGGUAACUGGGACUACUGGCAGUAAUAUUAUUUUAUAGGUUAGUUGAUCGCAUUGACUGACCAAAUCAGAGCCCCAAAGAAUGCUACAAAAGACGAAGCACACUUUGUUCUGGCUGGGGGAAGGAAGGGAGAGCCUGUAACACAGCUGGGUCACAGGAAAUCAACAUUGCAAGGUAGAUGCUCUGAAUUACUGUCAGCUCCAGAACAACCAGCUUACUUGCCACUGACCUGAGUACUCAAAUUUGAACCCUCUCUCACAGUCAUGGACAAGACUGGGCUCUGUGGAGUUCGUCUGCCUCUUGGUGUCCUGCCCCAGCCUGCUGUCCGAGUGCUGGGCUCCCAGUGGGCACUGCAGGUCAGUGACAGGGCGCAUCAUGGGAGUGCCUAGGAAGAUGCGUGAGCCUGGGGCUUCUCAUCUCCCGCUGGAAAAAAAAGCUACUACGCAGUGAUCAAAGCUCUUUCGGAAGGGGAAAUUGUCACCACAGUCGUCACGUGCCUGCCCUGCCCGAUGCAGAUGGCAGAAUUUAAUAAUCUCGAGCGACUCUGUGUAGGCCCAGCUCCCAGCAGAAGCGUCUGUUGUGGAUCGAGGAGAAGGAGUUUGGUAACAUUUUGCCCUUGGGGGUUGGUGUGAAGGGAAAUAUCACGGAAGUCUUUUUUAGCUUUGACUUCUGUGAUUCUAUGGAAACAAGGCAGCAGGAGUGGGAAUCCAGUGAGAGAGAAGAGCUAAGGCAGCUCGACUGGCUUUGAGGCUGAAGAAGGGAGGGAGAGAGGCAGAGGAACAAUAGGCUUUAUUGGGGACUCUCCUAGGCCACGCACUUUCAUCUCUGGGAUCUGAAGCAGGAACUUUUCAUUGGGCUGUUGGUUUGGGUCCGAGCAGGAGAGUUAUUGGUAGAGUUUGCAGAAGGGCCCUGGGCGGGAGAGAGAAAGGACGUCUGUGGUCCUAUUGUCUGGGCACCUCUGUUAAUAACACUUGAGCGUUUCCCCGCCCCACUUAGGACAAUGGGGCCAGAAGACAAACUUUAAUUCGAAUGGUGUUUUCUGUGUGCUGUAAUAAUGUGGUGGGAAACCUCAAAGGCUCAGGAAUUCCUUGCUGGGAUUGUGUGCGUGCGAAUCCCGAGCGUUAAGGCGCUGGCCCGUCUCCAUCUGCGACGGACGCCGAACGGCUGAGUCGAGCCGCGCUGAGCUCGCUCGUGGCAGAUGGCCAGACGGCUCUCGGAGUUCACAGCAUGUAUAUGGAUAUUUACAUAUACACAAACAUGCCCGCGGCAGCUGUCUGCCUGCCUCUCCCCGGCGAAAUGGGAGACGAGGUCCGGAGGUCAGCGGCCCCGGGCCACUGCUACUGUUCUUCCUGCGGUCCUGGGACAGUGACCAUCAAGGUGGAGACAGCGCAAGGCCAGCGUCUCCGCGGCCCCUGUUUACAAUCCUACUCUGAGCGUCUGAGAAGCCAUCUUUCACUUUUAGUUAUUUAUUCUCAUUCGAGGGACUGGGGAUUGAACACGGAGCCUUGUGUAUGUUAGACAAAUGCUACACCCUGACCCAGCCCAGCGUGCGUCACUCUUGGUUGGCAAUAAAUCGCACAGUAGGGGAGACAGACUGGAGAUGAGAGAGUCUAGUGCGAAAGGACGCUUAUUGAUCUCAGUGAAUUUGAGACUCCCAAGAACAUGGCCAGAUGCUGGGCCCAGCACCACCCUGGUUUGAUCUGAGGUUGGCUUUGUCUCCCUUACAUUCAUCUCCUUUCUUCCACACCGGCGGAGUUUGAUUUUAAAUUAUACGAUUAAAAAAUAAUACGUGACAAGGAGCUGUGGAGGAGAGGGACCUUUACCUAGGAUUGAAUAAAAAUGAGACAAAUUGACAAGAAUUUUGCCUAUAAAUGUAAUAUAAUCCACAUAGAUUUUGUGGUAGGAAAGAGUUUAAAGAUGGUUAGCAACCACUUGCUUGUCGAUGUCCUCCUCAACAAGCAUUUCAAAGCUGAUCAAGGAUGCUUACCUGGCAGAGUUCCUUUGGGGACUUCGCCGUGUGGAGGUGAUCACCCGGAUGCAGGGUCAGGGUACAGACACUGGCAUCUGGAAAUCUCUACUCAAUGAAUGCUGAACACGCUACCAUUUUUCCAAGCACACACAUAAUGUGCUGUAGUCUUUAGAUUUGUCUUUUCCCCUUGAGACUCUGAGUCACCCUCCACAUCUGGGAAUCCUGAGUAUUUAGUGAGUCCUAAGAACUCAGCUCUACUUCCAAAGCACAUGCAGAGGAAAAGCUGGAGAGUCCUAUUCAUUGCUCAGCACAACUGCUUCUGUGCCCAGGAGGAUGUCAUUGUCACCUGGAGGGGUGGCCAUGGCUGACUGGGCGUGACUCUUCUCUGCAGAGAAAGAGGGGCACCCAGCCUGCCUCUCCCGACUAUGCCCAAGUGAUAGAUCCUGAAUUACUCAGGCCCUAAGAUUACUGUCUGGCUCACAGGCACAUUCCCAGGGAUUUGUUCCAAGUGCUGCCUGUGCUAGCCAGGUGCAUCUAGGGUGUAAGGGUUGGGUGACGGCCUUUAGCAUCAUGCCCCUACUUUGCUGGGAGCAGUCCCUCCACAUGAACCUCAGGCCUCAACUGAUCACUGCCCACCAGUGCACAUUCUCUCUCCUUGCAAGGAAAUUUCCUGAUGGGGUCUAGACUCUCAACCAAGAGCCUCCUAGCCCAUGUGAACUGGUUCCCUGAUUUUCUGCAUUGGGAAGGCAGGGCCUAGGCUUCCCCUGGAAAUUGGCAUGUGCCCCCUUAGAUCUCCUCCCACCAAAGGGUACCUGGGAAGCCUUCGUGGGCCACAAAAGUAUCUCUUCUGGAUUUUUCUCAGCCUUUUGGGCACCCACCAGGUUUACAAUUGCUUGUGAAGCAGCAGCUCAAGCCAUUCCAUUCAUAGGAGUGAAAACACAGUUUCAUAUUUAUCAUUGGCUAUGCCGAGGGGAAGAGAGGUGGCCGAAUAUCCCUUUAAACACAUUUCCUUUCUCAGUUCCCUGUCCUGGGCAUAAAGAACAAAGUAGAACCACGCUAAUGAGAAACGGCAUUUGGAGAGGACUGUCUUUGAGCUUGUCCACUGCGUCCCGAAAUUCUACGCAGGCAGACGGCUCACCCUUAGCUGAGCAGGCUCCUUUCUCCUGGUGCACACCCGCCAGCCCUCACCAUCUGUCACCGUCCUGUCCUGCCAUCUCCAGGGUCGGCUUAAAUCACUGCUGUCUUGGGGGAGCCAUACGAAGCCUUUUGUCUCCCAUGAACUGGUCACGGCGCCUCUCUUUGCCCCUCUUAUGCUCGCCACUUAUUUGUGAGAUAAAUGUCAACUCUGUUCUUGUCUAGACACACUGGAAUAUACUUUCCUUGAAGAGAGAGCAUUGUUUGGCUCACCAAGUCCUCCCACCUGGCCUGAAUCAUACACCGUGCCUCUCACAGCUGGUGUCCAACAAAUGUUUGACUCAGUGAGCCGAGGGCAGAGCAGGGAGCAGUCAUAGGCACCAGAAAGGGAUCAUUGCUGUCUUCUGAGGGGACAUAGAGCAGCCUGGAGUCUCUCGAGCUGGUACCACAUCUGGCUUACUGGAGCCAACAUCAUGGAGGGACCCAGGAGCUGGAAGUCCUCUUCUUGACAAUAAUACCCUAUAUGGACAUGGGAAAGCAAGUCACAGUUGCAAUAACUACAACUGUAAUACCUACCAUGUCAGGGAUUUUAUUUCCAUAGCCUGAUUUUAUCCACCAAAAAAGGCUGAUCAGUAAGUAUUUCUAUUUCUGACUUUCAGAUGAAAUAGCUUAGAAUUUAUAGGUUGUAACUGCAGACCUGGGAUUCAAUAGCAUGUGUGUCUCUACUACAUCAAACUGCAUCCCACUGGUCUCUCCAGCCCCUGUUAUUAAGCAAUCUGUUUCUCUGGUGUUCUAGAAUCCCAUGAUGCCUGGAGAGGUCUGGUCAGAUUGGAGCCAGUGAAGGGCCUGGGGCUCUGAGUCAAGAUGGCUGCCCCUCCUAAGGAAGAGAGGGCUGGGGGAGUCCUUCCUUCCUCUCACCUCGAGAGUCGGCCUCAAUUGCUGUAGAGGAUGGGUUAUGCCAGCUCAAUAUCUCUCUGUAGUCUAUAUCAGUUCUUGCUAGAAUUUGUUAUAAUACAACGUUUUAUGAAAAUACCAAAAAACGGAGGUUGUUGAGGAAUAUGGAACUCCAUAGACGGCACUACAGUCUGCCGUCAGCUAACUUCAGCGUAACCAUGUGCGGUAAGCAUUGACACGGUUGAUGCAUUCAUUUCUUGCUGUCAUUGUAACAACUUUUCGCAAGCUCAGUGGCUUUAAAGAACACCAAUUUAUUCUCUUACAGUUCUGGAAGUCAGAUACAGAUUCUGGAGGUUAUAGAUAUAGAUCCUUACAGUUCUGGAGGUCAGAUAGGGAUUCUGGAGGUUAUAGAUAUAGAUCCUUACAGUUCUGGAGGUCAGAUAGGGAUUCUGGAGGUUAUAGAUAUAGAUCCUUACAGUUCUGGAGGUCAGAUAGGGAUUCUGGAGGUUAUAGAUAUAGAUCCUUACAGUUCUGGAGGUCAGAUAGGGAUUCUGGAGGUUAUAGAUAUAGAUCCUUACAGUUCUGGAGGUCAGAUAGGGAUUCUGGAGGUUAUAGAUAUAGAUUCUUACAGUUUUGGAGGUCAGAUAGGGAUUCUGGAAGCAAUAGUCAAGAUGUUGGCAGGUCCAGUUCCUUCCGGAGACUCCCGGAAAGAACCUGUUUCUUGUCUUUCCUUGGCUGGUGUCCACAUCAUUCUAAUCUCUGCUUCCAUCCUCACAGGCUUUCUCUCUCUCCUUGACCUUGCCCCUCUCAUAGGUGGUGCAUUUAGGAUCCAUUGAGAUAACCCAGGAGCAUCAGCCUAAUCUCUAAACCAUUCACAGGCAGCUAUUCAGCCUGCCAACCUACCAUUGUUAGUGUCUAAUACUUACAUCUAAUUCCUUCUCACUGAGCAAUAAGAAAAUACAACCUGCCACAUAUAGCUAAGAGAAGAGUGUCUGCCCUGGUCAGAUAUAGUCUCUUCUAGGUUUCUGUCCCAUCUUAGUUCUUGUGUCAUUUCCUCAUCUCCGAUGAUGGGAGGUUCCCCUCUCCUCUCCCUUGACAUAGCUCUUUCCCUGUAGUUCAAUAUUGAGGUGUUACUUUUUGGAUAUCACGCACAUGAUUAGAGAGCAUUUAAUAACCAUGAUAUUUAUCCUGGUAUUGCUAAUGAGGCUUCACCUAGCUUCAAUAAAAUAGAAACUUUUAGCUUCCUGCUUUAUUUAACACUGCAGAAUGACUGCAGGGUACUGCAUCUCAUCUUUUUACUUGAUUCUGGGGGCUCUGGGGGUGAUGUCCUUGAGCUCCCUAAACUGCUGCCAUUGAAAGGAGAUAAAAGCCUAACACUAGCACAUUAUUAAACUCCUAGAACAUUAUUAAACCUCUCCUUUCUGGCUGAUCAUGUUUCUACUCAAUCUAACCAAAAUUUCCAUCAACUGAUGAAUGAGUCAAGUCAACUUUCCAUUGCUGGGACAAAAUACCUGACACCUACAGCUAAAAGGACAGGUUUAUUUUGGCUUAUGGUUUCAGAGGUUUCAGUCCCUGGUGAGCUGGCUUCCCACCAGAAACAUCAUGGCUGAAGGGUGUGGCAGAAAAGAGCUGCUCCAUUCAUGGCACCCAGGGAGCAGAAAGCAGGUUGGAAAAUGUGCCAGAGAGGAAGUGGACAGGGACCAGAUAUAGUCCUCAAGGCCCUGCAUCCAGGACCCACCCAGACUUACCUGGAAGUGUUUAUUAUUAAACCAAUCAAGUUGGCCAUCAAGAUUAACCAUCACAUGGUACAUGUACACAGCCAGAUCCACACAAAAGAAUGAAAUCUCAUUCUUUGGGAUAAUAUGGAUGGAACUGGAGAGCAUUAUGUUAAAUGAAAUAAGUCAAACACAGAAAGGUAAAUACUACACAAUCUCACUCAAUAUAGAAUCUACAAAGUAUUUCAUAGAAAUUGAGAAUAAAAUGGUGGUCCCUAGAGGAAGGGAGG